Molecule: long non-coding RNA, 319 nt
Organism: Hippoglossus stenolepis (Pacific halibut)
Lineage: Eukaryota; Metazoa; Chordata; Actinopteri; Pleuronectiformes; Pleuronectidae
Exons: 3
Source: RefSeq, a predicted model, not a curated record
GCAGUAGUCCAGUGCACACACACAGUCUGCGUCAGAAGCUGAUAGACGAAGAGCUGAAGACAUGGCACAAACGUUUAAUGGAAAACCAGGAGACCUGAUCGAGAUCAACCGUGGGGACUAUCAGCACUGGGCCGUCUACACUGGAGAGAAUAAAGUGGUUCAUUCGGUACAGACGACACAGGUGGUCAGUCAUCUGGCUCGUUGGACUAUCUGAUCAGCAGAAACGGAUAUGUAUUGCAUCAGAAGUUCGCCGAUGUAGUCGGCAAUGACCAUUACCAGGUCAACAAUCUGCUGGAUAAAAAGUACGAUGCUCGUGAAC